Long non-coding RNA from Hyposmocoma kahamanoa, 629 nucleotides. RefSeq lists it as uncharacterized. The transcript is spliced from 3 exons. The record is from RefSeq and is a predicted model, not a curated record. Lineage: Eukaryota; Metazoa; Arthropoda; Insecta; Lepidoptera; Cosmopterigidae.
CCGCCAGUACCAUAAUAUGAUGAGCCAUCAACCUAGUCCGAGAAUGAGGACGCCUUUCCGGAUUGUGUGGAGGCCUGAUUCGAUGUUGGUACAAUCAGAGUUUGAUGAUGUCCGUUAAGAAUUGCAGAAGAAAGCUGUGACGCGUCCCACAUCGCGCUCCCACUCGCCACAGCGCCGGCCGACCGUACGUCAUGGAAAGUUCCGCGGACCGAUGCCGACGCGAGCGGCACAGGUGAGCGAAGACGAGACUACAAAAGGUCGCCAGCCGGAACGAGCGAUACACUCAUUGGAGGAGCUUGCUACGGUAGGAACCUCAACCGGGCGUGGGACUGAUGCAGAGUAAUUGUAGCGCGUGACGAAGAUGUGCCCAGGUCGUGCGAAUUGCUCGUCUUCCGCCCCCCGUAGGGACUAUCCUCUCCCGUCCGUCUCCUGGGUUGGGUAGCGAUUGCUGGGUGUGACCAAGGUGUGUCCAGGCCGUGCAAAUCGCUCACCCUUGACCCCCGCAUACCCACCUAACCCCUGUCCGCGUCCUGUGUUGGGAGAACAAUUGCUGCGUGUGACCAAGGUGUGUCCAGGCCGUGCGAAUUGUUCACCCUUCAACACCGUAAACCUACCCUUUAGCUCAACGU